AACUUUGCAUCCUGAUGAUAUAUUACUACUUGCAAAUUUCAUAUUGUCCUCCGAAUCUUUUAGGACUUCGGAGUCUUUUUCACCCAUAUGCUUGCCAAGAUACAAUCCUAUGGCCUUCCUAUACGCUUAUGUUCAUUUUUUUGAUGAAAAUACUUACUUGACUCUUCUUACUCCGAGAUCAGAUGCCUUCUUUGAUUUGAAAGAUUCAAGGUGAG
This 215-nucleotide ribosomal RNA is filed under the name Triticum aestivum (bread wheat). Its description in RNAcentral is "partial small subunit ribosomal RNA". Lineage: Eukaryota; Viridiplantae; Streptophyta; Magnoliopsida; Poales; Poaceae. The record is from RNAcentral.